Molecule: transfer RNA, 75 nt
Filed under: Trichlorobacter lovleyi SZ
Lineage: Bacteria; Pseudomonadati; Thermodesulfobacteriota; Desulfuromonadia; Geobacterales; Geobacteraceae
Description: Geobacter lovleyi SZ tRNA-Val-CAC-1-1
Rfam family: tRNA
About the family: Transfer RNA (tRNA) molecules are approximately 80 nucleotides in length. Their secondary structure includes four short double-helical elements and three loops (D, anti-codon, and T loops).
Source: RNAcentral
GCGCGCUUAGCUCAGCGGGAGAGCACUGCCUUCACACGGCAGGGGUCGCAGGUUCGAAACCCGCAGCGCCCACCA